This is a long non-coding RNA of Lingula anatina, 110 nucleotides long. The record is from RefSeq and is a predicted model, not a curated record. Lineage: Eukaryota; Metazoa; Brachiopoda; Lingulata; Lingulida; Lingulidae.
CUAUUUGAAGAUGUCUCCAGCCUUGCCCAAAUAGCACAGUCAGUGCAAGACACAGGAGGAGUGUACUUUGUGCCUGCCUUCAAUGGUCUACAGGCCCCAAUCAAUGAUGA